AUUGAACGCUGGCGGCAGGCCUAACACAUGCAAGUCGAGCGGAUGAAGGGAGCUUGCUCCUGGAUUCAGCGGCGGACGGGUGAGUAAUGCCUAGGAAUCUGCCUGGUAGUGGGGGAUAACGUCCGGAAACGGGCGCUAAUACCGCAUACGUCCUGAGGGAGAAAGUGGGGGAUCUUCGGACCUCACGCUAUCAGAUGAGCCUAGGUCGGAUUAGCUAGUUGGUGGGGUAAGGGCCUACCAAGGCGACGAUCCGUAACUGGUCUGAGAGGAUGAUCAGUCACGCUGGAACUGAGACACGGUCCAGACUCCUACGGGAGGCAGCAGUGGGGAAUAUUGGACAAUGGGCGAAAGCCUGAUCCAGCCAUGCCGCGUGUGUGAAGAAGGUCUUCGGAUUGUAAAGCACUUUAAGUUGGGAGGAAGGGCAGUAAGUUAAUACCUUGCUGUUUUGACGUUACCAACAGAAUAAGCACCGGCUAACUUCGUG
Molecule: ribosomal RNA, 484 nt
Filed under: uncultured bacterium
Lineage: Bacteria
Description: partial 16S ribosomal RNA
Rfam family: Bacterial small subunit ribosomal RNA
Source: RNAcentral